GACGAACGCUGGCGGCGUGCCUAAUACAUGCAAGUAGAACGCACAGUUUAUACCGUAGCUUGCUACACCAUAGACUGUGAGUUGCGAACGGGUGAGUAACGCGUAGGUAACCUGCCUGGUAGCGGGGGAUAACUAUUGGAAACGAUAGCUAAUACCGCAUAAUAUUAAUUAUUGCAUGAUAAUUAAUUGAAAUGUGCAAUUGCACCACUACCAGAUGGACCUGCGUUGUAUUAGCUAGUAGGUGAGGUAACGGCUCACCUAGGCGACGAUACAUAGCCGACCUGGGAGGGUGAUCGGCCACACUGGGACUGGGACCCGGCCCCGACUCCUACGGGAGGCAGCAGUAGGGAAUCUUCGGCAAUGGACGGAAGUCUGACCGGGCAACGCCGCGUGAGUGAAGAAGGGUUUCGGAUCGUAAAGCUCUGUUGUAAGGGAAGAACGGGUGUGAGAGUGAAAAGUUCACACUGUGACGGUACCUUACCAGAAAGGGACGGCUAACUACGUG
This 505-nucleotide ribosomal RNA is filed under the name uncultured bacterium. RNAcentral's name for it is "partial 16S ribosomal RNA". It matches the Rfam family "Bacterial small subunit ribosomal RNA", at positions 28 to 507 of the family's 1533-position model. The record is from RNAcentral.